GCCGGGGUGGCGGAACUGGUAGACGCGCCGGAUUCAAAAUCCGGUUCCUUCACGGGAGUGUCGGUUCGAUCCCGACCCUCGGUACCA
This 87-nucleotide transfer RNA is filed under the name Gammaproteobacteria bacterium. RNAcentral's name for it is "tRNA-Leu". It matches the Rfam family "tRNA". From Rfam's summary of the family: Transfer RNA (tRNA) molecules are approximately 80 nucleotides in length. Their secondary structure includes four short double-helical elements and three loops (D, anti-codon, and T loops). Further hydrogen bonds mediate the characteristic L-shaped molecular structure. tRNAs have two regions of fundamental functional importance: the anti-codon, which is responsible for specific mRNA codon recognition, and the 3' end, to which the tRNAs corresponding amino acid is attached (by aminoacyl-tRNA synthetases). tRNAs cope with the degeneracy of the genetic code in two manners: having more than one tRNA (with a specific anti-codon) for a particular amino acid; and 'wobble' base-pairing, i.e. permitting non-standard base-pairing at the 3rd anti-codon position. The record is from RNAcentral. Lineage: Bacteria; Pseudomonadati; Pseudomonadota; Gammaproteobacteria.